GAACAAAACCUCCACUGUAGAGCACCCUCCCUGGCCGAGUCCGAACUCCCUGGCCUACUCAAGCGCUUCUUGGACGCGGUCCAUGCACGCGACUUCUAGGGCCACGAUAUUACUGUACUGUACUGCACUGCAGUGUACUGGACUGCACUGGACUGCACUGCACUGUACUGCACUGUACUGUACUGCUCUGUACUGCACUGCUCUGUACUGCACUGCACUGUACUGCUCUGUACUCCUCUGUACUGCACUGCAGUGUACUGGACUGGACUGGACUGCACUGCACUGGACUGCACUGUGCUGUGCUGUGCUGUGCUGUGCUGUGCUGUGCUGUGCUGUGCUGUGCUGUGCUGUGCUGCACUUGACCGCACUGCCCCGUCCUAUCCUAUACUGUACUACCUGCUCAAUGAGCUACAACUGGUCUUUGCGAGCACAUAUGAAGCACUCGAGCAUCUUUACGAAGAGCAUUGGCGGGGGCCGUUCAAGGUUGUUUCUUGACGCAGAGUCCAAGGAAGGAACUGGACAGGUGCAGUGCAGACCGACGGAAUAUCCCUCUGGUUGCACUCUGUUCAGUCGAUACCCGAGUCCCGCAAAGAGGCUCGUUUCAAUCGCUCAUCGUCGAUGAAAUCUAAAAUUUCGCGGCGGGUGUAGGUCCCGGGUUGCAGGACGUCAUAGCUGUCGCCGUGCUCCCAGGUCAGGACGACGAAGCCAAGGGCCUGAACUGAAAGCAGCUGGAGAAGCUAAAUGUUUCCAGAGCUCCGUCUUAUUGAGGGUCGCGCAUGACAGGUGUCAGAAGGCAUACCGACAGAUGGAAUGGACGCGGCAGGACCCAGAUAGACGCCCUGAAUACCGUGCGGAGCAGAGGUGGUCCUUCGAACGCUUCAGCCGAAGAUUGCGUGAGCGUCUGAAUGGCUCGUGCGGAAGGCGUCUCUGGCAGGCGUACCCGAGGCCGCGCUGAGGUCGCCAACUUUUUCGGUUGCACGGAGACAAGAAACGUCCAUUGACCGUCCACUUCCAUAUAUUGGAGAAGGAAAUGACCGACAAGUCGCUUCGUUCGAAGGCAGCGUAGGGUUCUUGAUGUGUUGCGGCGUGCAGUGGCUCCACUCUUGCUCGUCGAAUGCGAGCGCACGACAAGUGCAGGAAUCGACUCUUCAGGAAUCCCAUCGGUGAGUUCGGGACGACAAACACUCCUUGCGGACACGGGUGUGCGCUGAAACCGAUUGAGAAGAAGCGAGUGAAGCGCAGACAGCUGUAUGAGAUGGUGUACGGCAGGGUGACCAAACCUCAGAUACCGGUGCAUUCGAAGGCGAGCGGCUUUGUAUAGUGCGAUUCUACCAGCAAGCUUGUGCGCAGGCGCUUUCUGCAGCGAGACUUGAACGUCCCGCUCAACGUUCGGAAAUGUCACGUGCCUCCGGAGCGCUCAGCGGCUUUGCAUCGAGCGGGUUGUCGGGGAAGAAUCGUUCGCUUCUCAGCGUAGGCAUUGUGCUGGAGCGCUGAGGACUCCCGAUGCAGAACAAAUCAGUAGCCGGGAUCGAGGAUCGUGGAUUUCCGCCUGGAGCAAGACACUGGUAUGGAACGGUGUAUCAGUUCGGAAUAGGCUGGAGUGCCGCUUAUCUAGAUCGGGAAAGACUUUCGUAGGCAACUGAUGAGUGAUUAUGGUGUAGGAUUACUCAAUAAGAUGGGCAAAGUUGAGCGAGCCCUGUCGUCAACGCCGUGCCUGCGUUAGCGACGGCUUUCGCAGCUGUAUGCCAGGCUUCCUGACACCAGCGGAUUCGGCGAACGAAAAUAUUUCGAAGUUCAAAAAAUUCCUGACGACCUCGAUUAUUCUGAGAUGUACAUAGACGAAAUUCGUGGAUUCCUGACAACGCAUCUGGCUCGAGAAUUGUACGCACCACAGACUGGAUCCUAAUCGCAGAUCUGUUCAUUCCUGUGGAAGAGAUAAAUGCGGGUCGUUCGCUCGUCGACCUUGACACCUCUAAAUCGCAACAUCAUCCGUUGUUCAUCGAUGUGGAGGAGCCUCAAAGCAACAGCUCAGCUAGUGUCUCGCAAAAUGCGACUCGUGCGAGCCUGCUGAGCGCAAAUCCUCAGAGAGGCUUUCACGAACUUUUGUUAGAUUGUCGCUCCGAGCAUCGCAUUCGUCGAGCAACUGCUGCAACAAAUGGAAGCAGAAUCUUCCCAGUAAGGUCAUCGAUCAAAAGGAUAUUGUACAGGGCCGAGGCCGCCCAGACGACUUUUCGAAGGCCUGCUCCAGGUGGCGAGGCCGGUUGCCCUCGUUUGCAUGAUAGUUCGUGCCAGAGGAUGAUUCUUCGCACGACCUCCACUCUUGCAGGUGGUACACAUAUCAGGGUAAAUACAGACGGCGGA
RNAcentral lists this unclassified non-coding RNA (2361 nucleotides) under Cyanidioschyzon merolae strain 10D. RNAcentral's name for it is "hypothetical transcript". Lineage: Eukaryota; Rhodophyta; Bangiophyceae; Cyanidiales; Cyanidiaceae. The record is from RNAcentral.